UACAGAGGGUGCGAGCGUUGUCCGGAAUCACUGGGCGUAAAGGGCGCGUAGGCGGCUUGAUAAGCGUGCGGUGAAAGCCCGGGGCUCAACCCCGGGUCGGCCGUGCGAACUGUCGAGCUGGAGCACUGUAGAGGCAGGUGGAAUUCCCGGUGUAGCGGUGAAAUGCGCAGAUAUCGGGAGGAACACCUAUGGCGAAGGCAGCUCGCUGGGACGUUACUGACGCUGAGACGCGAAAGCGUGGGGAGCAAACAGG
This 253-nucleotide ribosomal RNA is filed under the name uncultured bacterium. RNAcentral describes it as "partial 16S ribosomal RNA". It matches the Rfam family "Bacterial small subunit ribosomal RNA", at positions 524 to 776 of the family's 1533-position model. The record is from RNAcentral.